UCCCUGUGAAUUGACAAUAAAAAGAAAUAUUCUAAGAUGCUAAGACAAAGAAUUGAAGACAUUGAACUGCAACUUUGGCACAGUGAGGUUUAUAACGAUCAUAGAAAACACGCAGAACCACCGCAGGUGCCUUACCGAACUGCGCAUUAGUAAUCAUGUUCUAGAAAUAGAAAGGAUCCAUUCCCUACAGCAAAGAUGUUGUGCAGGAUCAGCCAGCCGCUCUGGCCCCCCUGUGGUCAGCCUUGACAUUUGUUCUUACUCCAGUAAACAUAUGACCGUUGGAAGCGCUGUAAACACGUUACUAAAGUAUGAAAAGCUUCGUAAAGAAAAUUCUUAAGAAUCAUUUUUAAGUAAUGCUCCGUGUAAGAACUACGGUGAAUCGAUAGGUCCUGCGGCAAUAGGGGUUCGUUAUCUUUUUAACUAAUCUAAUUAAUAUUGCUAUGCUUAUUGGUUCAAGACGCUCUGCCCGCCAAAUUUGAACU
Nematostella vectensis (starlet sea anemone) is the source of this 482-nucleotide long non-coding RNA. RefSeq lists it as uncharacterized. The record is from RefSeq and is a predicted model, not a curated record. The transcript has 2 exons. Lineage: Eukaryota; Metazoa; Cnidaria; Anthozoa; Actiniaria; Edwardsiidae.